This 253-nucleotide ribosomal RNA is filed under the name uncultured bacterium. Its description in RNAcentral is "partial 16S ribosomal RNA". It matches the Rfam family "Bacterial small subunit ribosomal RNA", at positions 524 to 776 of the family's 1533-position model. The record is from RNAcentral.
UACGUAGGGUGCGAGCGUUAAUCGGAAUUACUGGGCGUAAAGCGCACGUAGGCGGAUAUUUAAGUCAGGGGUGAAAUCCCGGAGCUCAACUCCGGAACUGCCUUUGAUACUGGGUAUCUUGAGUAUGGAAGAGGUAAGUGGAAUUGCGAGUGUAGAGGUGAAAUUCGUAGAUAUUCGCAGGAACACCAGUGGCGAAGGCGGCUUACUGGUCCAUUACUGACGCUGAGGUGCGAAAGCGUGGGGAGCAAACAGG